Molecule: ribosomal RNA, 496 nt
Filed under: uncultured bacterium
Lineage: Bacteria
Description: partial 16S ribosomal RNA
Rfam family: Bacterial small subunit ribosomal RNA
Source: RNAcentral
AUGCACGCUGGCGGCGUGCCUCAUACAUGCAAGUCGAGCGAACAGACGAGGAGCUUGCUCCUCUGACGUUAGCGGCGGACGGGUGAGUAACACGUGGAUAACCUACCUAUAAGACUGGGAUAACUUCGGGAAACCGGAGCUAAUACCGGAUAAUAUAUUGAACCGCAUGGUUCAAUAGUGAAAGACGGUUUUGCUGUCACUUAUAGAUGGAUCCGCGCCGCAUUAGCUAGUUGGUAAGGUAACGGCUUACCAAGGCGACGAUGCGUAGCCGACCUGAGAGGGGGAUCGGCCACACGGGAACUGAGAACCGGUCCAGACUACUACGGGAGGCAGCAGUAGGGAAUCUUCGGCAAGGGGCGAAAGCCUGACAGAGCAACGCAGCGUGAGUGAUGAAGGUCUUCGGAUCGUAAAACUCUGUUAUUAGGGAAGAACAAAUGUGUAAGUAACUAUGCACGUCUUGACGGUACCUAAUCAGAAAGCCACGGCUAACUACGUG